RNAcentral lists this ribosomal RNA (491 nucleotides) under uncultured bacterium. Its description in RNAcentral is "partial 16S ribosomal RNA". It matches the Rfam family "Bacterial small subunit ribosomal RNA", at positions 28 to 507 of the family's 1533-position model. The record is from RNAcentral.
GAUGAACGCUGGCUACAGGCUUAACACAUGCAAGUCGAGGGGAAACGACGGGGAAGCUUGCUUCCCCGGGCGUCGACCGGCGCACGGGUGAGUAACGCGUAUCCAACCUGCCUCUGACUGAGGGAUAACCCGUCGAAAGUCGGCCUAAUACCUCAUGGCAUCGUCUGCGGGCAUCCAACGACGAUUAAAGAUUUCAUUGGUCAGGGAUGGGGAUGCGUCUGAUUAGCUAGUUGGCGGGGUAACGGCCCACCAAGGCGACGAUCAGUAGGGGUUCUGAGAGGAAGGUCCCCCACAUUGGAACUGAGACACGGGCCAAACUCCUACGGGAGGCAGCAGUGAGGAAUAUUGGUCAAUGGGCGAGAGCCUGAACCAGCCAAGUAGCGUGCAGGAUGACGGCCCUAUGGGUUGUAAACUGCUUUUAUGCGGGGAUAAAGUGAGGGACGUGUCCUUCAUUGCAGGUACCGCAUGAAUAAGGACCGGCUAAUUCCGUG